Molecule: ribosomal RNA, 612 nt
Filed under: uncultured Verrucomicrobium sp.
Lineage: Bacteria; Pseudomonadati; Verrucomicrobiota; Verrucomicrobiia; Verrucomicrobiales; Verrucomicrobiaceae
Description: bacterial SSU rRNA
Rfam family: Bacterial small subunit ribosomal RNA
Source: RNAcentral
CAGUAAACGGUGCACGUUUGGUGUGGGAGGAUUCGAUCCCUUCCGUGCCGGAGCUAACGCGUUAAACGUGCCGCCUGGGAAGUACGAUCGCAAGAUUAAAACUCAAAGAAAUUGACGGGGGCCCGCACAAGCAGUGGAGUAUGUGGCUUAAUUCGAUGCAACGCGAAGAACCUUACCUGGUCUUGACAUGCAUCUCUAAGUUGGUGAAAGCCAGCGAGUGUGUAGUAAACUAUACACAAUUUGCACAGGUGCUGCAUGGCUGUCGUCAGCUCGUGUCGUGAGAUGUCGGGUUAAGUCCCGCAACGAGCGCAACCCCUGUGAUUAGUUGCCACCGGCACAAGCCGAGCACUCUAAUCAGACUGCCCCGCAUAACUGGGGGGAGGUGGGGAUGACGUCAAGUCAGUAUGGCCCUUACGACCAGGGCUGCACACGUACUACAAUGCCCAGGACAGAAUGAACCGAAACCGCGAGGUGGAGGAAAUCCCCAAACCUGGGCUCAGUUCGGAUUGAAGGCUGCAACUCGCCUUCAUGAAGUUGGAAUUGCUAGUAAUGGCGCAUCAGCUACGGCGCCGUGAAUACGUUCCCGGGCCUUGUACACACCGCCCGUCACAU